RNAcentral lists this ribosomal RNA (253 nucleotides) under uncultured bacterium. RNAcentral's name for it is "partial 16S ribosomal RNA". It matches the Rfam family "Bacterial small subunit ribosomal RNA", at positions 524 to 776 of the family's 1533-position model. The record is from RNAcentral.
UACAGAGGUCCCAAGCGUUGUUCGGAUUCCCUGGGCGUAAAGGGUGCGUAGGCGGUCGGGUAAGUCUGAUGUGAAAUCUCACAGCUUAACUGUGAAACUGCAUUGGAUACUAUUCGGCUUGAGAGUUGGAGGGGGGACUGGAAUUCUUGGUGUAGCAGUGAAAUGCGUAGAUAUCAAGAGGAACACCAGUGGCGAAGGCGAGUCCCUGGACAACUUCUGACGCUGAGGCACGAAAGCUAGGGGAGCAAACAGG